This 253-nucleotide ribosomal RNA is filed under the name uncultured microorganism. Its description in RNAcentral is "partial 16S ribosomal RNA". It matches the Rfam family "Bacterial small subunit ribosomal RNA", at positions 524 to 776 of the family's 1533-position model. The record is from RNAcentral.
UACGUAGGGUGCGAGCGUUAAUCGGAUUUACUGGGCGUAAAGCGUGCGCAGGCGGCCCGUUAAGACAGGUGUGAAAUCCCUGGGCUCAACCUAGGAAUUGCGCUUGUGACUGGCGGGCUCGAGUACGGUAGAGGGGGGUGGAAUUCCUGGUGUAGCAGUGAACUGCGUAGAGAUCAGGAGGAACACCGAUGGCGAAGGCAGCCCCCUGGGCCUGUACUGACGCUCAUGCACGAAAGCGUGGGGAGCAAACAGG